Molecule: long non-coding RNA, 390 nt
Organism: Dreissena polymorpha
Lineage: Eukaryota; Metazoa; Mollusca; Bivalvia; Myida; Dreissenidae
Exons: 3
Source: RefSeq, a predicted model, not a curated record
UAAUACCACGAAAACGACGCACCUGCAACAACUGUUGAUAAGAGGAACGGUAUAUAAGUGCCGAAAGUCUUCCACUGCUUCGUAAGUAUUCUUACAGCAAGAAGAUGACCAAAUUGGUUGUGCUCGCUCUACUUGUUGCCACUGCGCUAGUGGCCGUCUCGGCUGCUCCCGUGAAGCGGGACGUUGUUGGAUGCACAACCACAGCUGCUUGUCAUACCUUCUGCCACGACCAUCAGCACGAAGAUGAAGGGCAGUGCAUAAGCGGAGUUUGCAUCUGCAGGACCGGUUCCGAAUUUUCUGCUUACAUCUUUGGCUAACAAGCCAGGAAUGAGACUAAGACAACGUGAUGUCAGUGAUAUGUAAAUAUCAAAUAAAACUAUUAAAAUUCUA